Molecule: long non-coding RNA, 495 nt
Filed under: Gallus gallus (chicken)
Lineage: Eukaryota; Metazoa; Chordata; Aves; Galliformes; Phasianidae
Description: lncRNA (ENSGALG00010002257.1)
Source: RNAcentral
GGAAACAAGGGGAUUUGGAGGUCACUGGAGUGGGAGCCAGCAGGAAAUGGAGGGAGGAACUGAGCGUCAGAAGCAGCUGAUAGAUUCAUUACUUUUAUUUUCUUAAGGUAUGAAACCUCCAGAUACUUCUGAUGCUGGGUCUUUCAGAUGUCGCUGGUCCCCCUGUGGGCAGCACUUGGCCCCAGCUCCUGAAGUGCCAGCGCCUUCUUUCAGGGGGACAGAGUACAGAAGAUCCAUUCCUACCUCCUGCUCCAGCCUUCCUGCUCCCUCCAGACAGUGCAUCCCAUGGAGACCCUGGAGCAAAUUUCUGCAUUCAGGAGACUGCUGGUUGCUUGUGUAUAGCCCCAUCAUCACCAAGCAAAGACAGUCACUGCUAACACCAUCUUCCUGAACUGAUGUUUUUGGAGGGCUUUAAUACUAAAAAUUGAUCAUAUUGGAAAGAAGUGUAUGAAAUAAAAUAUUGCCUAUAUGUGAUAAAUAAUAAAUAAAGAGAAC